UACGUAGGGGGCGAGCGUUGUCCGGAUUUAUUGGGCGUAAAGAGCUCGUAGGCGGUUCGGUAAGUCAGGUGUAAAAACUCCAGGCUCAACUUGGAGAGGCCACCUGAUACUGCCGUGACUAGAGUCCGGUAGAGGAGCACGGAAUUCCUGGUGUAGCGGUGAAAUGCGCAGAUAUCAGGAGGAACACCGGUGGCGAAGGCGGGUCUCUGGGCCGUAACUGACGCUGAGGAGCGAAAGCGUGGGGAGCGAACAGG
This 254-nucleotide ribosomal RNA is filed under the name uncultured bacterium. Its description in RNAcentral is "partial 16S ribosomal RNA". It matches the Rfam family "Bacterial small subunit ribosomal RNA", at positions 524 to 776 of the family's 1533-position model. The record is from RNAcentral.